Long non-coding RNA from Zophobas morio, 329 nucleotides. RefSeq lists it as uncharacterized. NCBI's taxonomy places the organism in Eukaryota, Metazoa, Arthropoda, Insecta, Coleoptera, Tenebrionidae. The transcript has 2 exons. The record is from RefSeq and is a predicted model, not a curated record.
GUGAUUUCGCUUUCAUUUCGUUAGCCAUGUUUUCGGGAUUGCUUUCUCUCGAAUACUGUAUGAACGACCACUAUCAGAUGCUAUUGAUAACGUCAUAGGGCUUAGUCAGCGUGGAAGCACAGACUACCAGACAAGACACAUACCCACUUUGAGCGAACGUGACCCUUAUUGACGACUUACCUCAACCGUCACUUCAUACGCGCAAUUUUUAAACGCGAGGACUGCCACUUUACAACACAAUCUCGGAUAAAAGCCAACAUAAUGUUAAAAAAAUACAUCAACAGAACUCAUAUUAUGUUUAACUUACUAAAAUAAUAAAGGCGUUCGUA